Molecule: ribosomal RNA, 494 nt
Filed under: Listeria innocua
Lineage: Bacteria; Bacillati; Bacillota; Bacilli; Caryophanales; Listeriaceae
Description: bacterial SSU rRNA
Rfam family: Bacterial small subunit ribosomal RNA
Source: RNAcentral
GAACGCUGGCGGCGUGCCUAAUACAUGCAAGUCGAACGAACGGAGGAAGAGCUUGCUCUUCCAAAGUUAGUGGCGGACGGGUGAGUAACACGUGGGCAACCUGCCUGUAAGUUGGGGAUAACUCCGGGAAACCGGGGCUAAUACCGAAUGAUAGAGUGUGGCGCAUGCCACGCUYUUGAAAGAUGGUUUCGGCUAUCGCUUACAGAUGGGCCCGCGGUGCAUUAGCUAGUUGGUAGGGUAAUGGCCUACCAAGGCAACGAUGCAUAGCCGACCUGAGAGGGUGAUCGGCCACACUGGGACUGAGACACGGCCCAGACUCCUACGGGAGGCAGCAGUAGGGAAUCUUCCGCAAUGGACGAAAGUCUGACGGAGCAACGCCGCGUGUAUGAAGAAGGUUUUCGGAUCGUAAAGUACUGUUGUUAGAGAAGAACAAGGAUAAGAGUAACUGCUUGUCCCUUGACGGUAUCUAACCAGAAAGCCACGGCUAACUACGU